GAGGAACCCAAAGAGGACGAGAAGGGUCUGGCUGCAGACCAUGGGCGAGUGGAGCUCCACUCUCAAACCGGAAAUACGUCACCUCCACUUGAAAACAUCAAGAUGGCGUCGCCGGGAGUACUUCAAACUUAAACUCAGGGAUAGGAUUGGCAUAGAAGAUGCAGCACUCUUUACAUUUUAAAUAUCAAAUGUAUAUCAAGUGUUAUCCAUCCUCAUAACACCUCCACAAAUAGAGACUGAAACUUCUGAGCACCAUCACCUUGUCUGCUAUGGGACUGUCAUAGGAGAAUGAUGCACCCAGCAAUCAGAUGCAUCAGAACAACAAAGCACAACUGUGGUGCCCCAGGCACCUUCAGCAACAAGUAAAUUGCUUUAACAUUAAUGAUAAUUAAAUGUCAGUAUUGUAAUUAAACUUGACCCAUCUGACGUAAUUGUUCAUGCCAGAGAUUUAACAACACUGUCAGUCAGGAGCAUAUUUAACAGGAGGCACACUUCAGCUGGCUUGAUGGUGACUUCAGUAAGUGUGGUCAACCCUCUUGUUUUUGUGGCUAUAACAAUUAGACUAAGUAAUCUCACUCUCUUCCAUUUCCCUAACAUUACCCUUUUUUUUUGUUGAUACUGAAAAGGUGCAGUGAAGAAAUUUAAAGAGACACUAUCUAAAGUACAGAAAGCCGUACAUAAUCUCUAGGUGCAGUCGCCUACAGCGCAGCCAGCUUCACAAAGACUGUGGGGCUGGUCACCAGGAAAAUGGCCAACAAGGAGUGCUUUUGGGGUUUUACUCCUCAGAUGACCACCCUGGCUACUGUAGCUGGGAUUGCUUCACAGACAAUGGAGGUCUUGAAGAGUAAAGUGUGCGUGCAUGUGAACACAUUGUGUUAUUACAGUAACAAUUAUGGUCACUUGCAGUUCAUGUGUUUUCAAUGUAGUGUAAGAUGUGUUAAUUAUUAUUAUUACUCAAAAACCAUUAAAACUUCUAAAUUGUGGAAGUUAUUCUUCA
Carassius auratus (goldfish) is the source of this 997-nucleotide long non-coding RNA. RefSeq lists it as uncharacterized. The transcript is spliced from 4 exons. The record is from RefSeq and is a predicted model, not a curated record. Lineage: Eukaryota; Metazoa; Chordata; Actinopteri; Cypriniformes; Cyprinidae.